Callithrix jacchus (white-tufted-ear marmoset) is the source of this 1550-nucleotide long non-coding RNA. The record is from Ensembl. NCBI's taxonomy places the organism in Eukaryota, Metazoa, Chordata, Mammalia, Primates, Cebidae.
AUGGGAGAAAGUAGCAAGGUGCAGGUUUUCCAGGCAAGGGAGCUGGUUUGGAUUAAAGUCACAUGCAAAAUGAGCCAUCUCCAACAUCUACAUCAGGAAGUAACUCUAGCUCAAGAUAGAGGUCAUUGGAGGGGCAACAGAUUUGUAUUGCUUAUUCUGGCUUCUCUUUUCCUGUACUGGAGAUCAUUUGGAAGAGCUACCAGUGACUUACCCUUUAUAAGCAUUAAAUGUUGAAAUAAAAGUGAUUGCUUGUUGAUUAGCACUUCCCUCGAUGAAGUAUACAAGUGUCAUGUAAAACAAACUGAACCCUGCUCAUGAUGGAUUGAAAUGGACAUUCCAUUGGAGGCUCUUUGGGCCAAGACCACAAUGCUUUGGCUCCUAGGUGCUCAUGAAGCUUCUAAUUGACUUUCAUACCACUUACCAAUUACUGUUCUCAAGAACAGUCUUUGAAGUCAAACUUUCAUAGGCUCCUGCAUUUCUAAUGCUGAGAUUCAUUUGACCUGUAGUGUGUCAUGAAUUUUACCCACUAAAUUUAUUUAGAAGCAUCAUGAGUUAUUUAAUGGGAAAUUAUAUUUGAAGAGUUAAUAUAAUAUAACAAUCUACAUAGUUCAUCAUCUGUAAAAAUGAUCACUUAACUACACCUUUUGAAGAGCAUUAGAAUACAAUAUUUACAAAAAGUAUAUUUUUCAAAUUUAGGAUGUUUUCGUGGAUUAAGUGAAUUCUAAAAAUAUCUGUUGAUAGUUACACUGAUUUUAAGAUUACUCAUUGUAAAGUUUUAAAGUACUAAGGUUUAUGUAGAUAUCAAAAGCGUUAUUAAAAUUAUCUUCAUAUCUUGCAUGGAAAUAUGUUAAAUCCUCUAUAUUUUAAAAGGAAAACAAUAGAUAAAUGGACUUAUUAGUAAAAACGAAUUAGAAAUAAAUACUUAUUUUGAAUGUAUUCUAAUUAGUGAAAGGUUUAUUCCAUUGACCACAUCUUCCCGAAAUUUUAGAGAAAUGAAUUCAAAAGUUUUUAUAUGCAUGUUUGUGGCUUAGUAAGUAGGAAUGCCAUCAGCAGACAUUUAUUUAAAAAGCUAUCUAUAAUUAUAAGAGCAAUCUGACUAAUUUCUUCUAGUGGCAAACUGAAGCAGAGGCUACUUUUAGAAUAACAUCAAGAAGUUGUAUAGAAUAUUUUGUCAAAGUCAGAUAAGUAGUAAUGUUCUGAAUUUUUCAUCACAUUUAUAUAUAAAUAAAACAUGAUUACAUAAGUUGCUGAAAUAAAGAUUGUAGCUAUUUCAGUACUCAGAGUACUCUGGAUAUGCUUGUGAAUAAAGAACAUUAAUCAUACACUAUGAGAAAAUAUGUGUCAGUUGUCUUUAUCUAUAUUCACUCACUGACUGAAUAUAUUUUUCACACAGGGGAAAUACACAGAUGAUUAAGCCCAGGGUUUAAAUACAUAUAGGACAUGCUAGAAAAAUCUACCAAUGUUUAGGCUAUGGUCCUUAAUUUCAAGUCGCUUUAAAAAUUAAUUUAAUAUGUUAUUUUCUUAGACACUUAUAUCUUAAUUAUAGAAAU